AUGGAUAGAGUCGAUGUAGAUUCAAGUAUAAUAAAUCUUGAGCGCCUAGGGGUUAUUGAACUAUGUGACAAGAACAUGAAUUAUGUGUUUAGCAUCCCAUGUGGCGAUUCAACCAUAGAAGGCGAAGGAGUCGAGCCGUCAGCAGCUUGCAUUGAGUAUACCCGUGUGCCAGCAUCGUUUACUGACGGAGGCACCCGCAGCCUGAAAGCUGCAGAGGCAUACUUAAGCAGAUGCAUAACAGAAUCAUCUACUCAAUUAGAGCAGGACUGCUUCAAAAUUGCUUUUGUUAUAAGAACAUGA
RNAcentral lists this ribosomal RNA (300 nucleotides) under Triticum aestivum (bread wheat). Its description in RNAcentral is "partial small subunit ribosomal RNA". The record is from RNAcentral. Lineage: Eukaryota; Viridiplantae; Streptophyta; Magnoliopsida; Poales; Poaceae.